This is a small nuclear RNA of Cricetulus griseus (Chinese hamster), 107 nucleotides long. The record is from Ensembl. Lineage: Eukaryota; Metazoa; Chordata; Mammalia; Rodentia; Cricetidae.
AUGCUCACUUCAGCAGCACACAUACUAAAAUUGGAAUGUUACAGAGAAGAUUAACAUGGCUCCUGCACAAGGAUAAUAUGCAAAUUCGUGAAGCAUUCCAUAUUUUU